UACGGAGGAUCCAAGCGUUUAUCCCGGGAUUUUAUUUGGGGUUUUAAAAGGGGGAGCGUAGGGCGGCCCUGUUUAAGUCAGGGGGGUGAAAAGACGGGUGGGCUCAAACCCAUCGCAGUGCCCCCUUUGAUACUGAUGGGGGCUUUGAAAUUAUAGUUUGAGGGUAGGGCGGGAAUGUGACAAAGUAGCGGGUGAAAUGCAUAGAUAUGUCACAGAAACACCCGAUUGCGAAGGGCA
RNAcentral lists this ribosomal RNA (237 nucleotides) under uncultured bacterium. Its description in RNAcentral is "partial 16S ribosomal RNA". The record is from RNAcentral.